CAGCAGCAGCCGCGGGAAUACGUAGGGUGCAAGCGUUAGUCGGAAUUACUGGGCGUAAAGCGUGCGCAGGCGGUUAUAUAAGACAGAUGUGAAAUCCCCGGGCUCAACCUGGGAACUGCAUUUGUGACUGUAUAGCUAGAGUACGGCAGAGGGGGAUGGAAUUCCGCGUGUAGCAGUGAAAUGCGUAGAUAUGCGGAGGAACACCGAUGGCGAAGGCAAUCCCCUGGGCCUGUACUGACGCUCAUGCACGAAAGCGUGGGGAGCAAACAGGAUUAGAUACCCGGGUAGUCCCUGUCUCUUAUAC
RNAcentral lists this ribosomal RNA (304 nucleotides) under uncultured bacterium. Its description in RNAcentral is "partial 16S ribosomal RNA". It matches the Rfam family "Bacterial small subunit ribosomal RNA", at positions 506 to 807 of the family's 1533-position model. The record is from RNAcentral.